Sycon ciliatum is the source of this 285-nucleotide long non-coding RNA. RefSeq lists it as uncharacterized. The transcript is spliced from 5 exons. The record is from RefSeq and is a predicted model, not a curated record. NCBI's taxonomy places the organism in Eukaryota, Metazoa, Porifera, Calcarea, Leucosolenida, Sycettidae.
GCCCAACCAAGGUCCUGCCCCUCAGCCCAACCAAGGUCCUGCCCCUCAGCCCCAAGUGCCAAGAUCAGAUGUAGACGAUAAUCCAGACUAUCCACCUGCAAAACGAAUGUUCAGAGGACCUCCAGAAGGACCUGCCGGAGAUACAAACGCCAUUCCAGCAGGGAGUGAACUCCACCGACCAUAUCAGCGAGGGGAUGACGAGGCUGCUUUGCUGAGCACGGAACUCGCAACAAAUGUGUACCCAACAAUAUUAAGUACUGAGCAAGUGCAAGUUGUAUAUGCCCG